UAAAAUUAUAAAUGUGUUAAUAUAGAAGUAUUAGUUAUGUUCUUGAAAUUAAAAAAAUUUGACGGUAUUUUAAUCUUUUUAGGGGAACCUGUUUCGUGAUCGAUAAUCCACGAUUUGUAAUACUUAAAUUUAAAAUUUAUAUAUCAUCGUUGUAAAAUAUUUUAAAAGAAAUUAUUUAAAUUUUAUAUUAAAAAAGAAUUCAGAUCAAGGUGUAGUAAUAUUUAAGAAGAAAAUGGGUUACAAUAAAUUUAUUUAUAUGGAAUAUAGUUUUAAAAAUUAUAUGAAGGUGGACUUAAAAGUAAUUAAUUUUAGAUAAUUUUAGUGAUUUAAGCUCUGAAAUAUGU
Molecule: ribosomal RNA, 344 nt
Filed under: Baeocrara sp. IBE-AN416
Lineage: Eukaryota; Metazoa; Arthropoda; Insecta; Coleoptera; Ptiliidae
Description: partial 12S ribosomal RNA
Source: RNAcentral